ACGGGUGAGUAACACGUAUGCAAUCCACCUGUAACAGGGGAUAACCCGGAGAAAUCCGGACUAAUACCCCAUAAUAUGGGCGCUCCGCAUGGAGAGUCCAUUAAAGAGAGCAAUCUUGGUUACAGACGAGCAUGCGCUCCAUUAGCCAGUUGGCGGGGUAACGGCCCACCAAGGCGACGAUGGAUAGGGGUUCUGAGAGGAAGGUCCCCCGCAUUGGAACUGAGACACGGUCCAA
This 235-nucleotide ribosomal RNA is filed under the name uncultured bacterium. RNAcentral's name for it is "partial 16S ribosomal RNA". It matches the Rfam family "Bacterial small subunit ribosomal RNA", at positions 102 to 334 of the family's 1533-position model. The record is from RNAcentral.